This 763-nucleotide long non-coding RNA is filed under the name Homo sapiens (human). RNAcentral describes it as "HSALNT0062614". Lineage: Eukaryota; Metazoa; Chordata; Mammalia; Primates; Hominidae. The record is from RNAcentral.
AAACAAACAAACAAACAGCCUUUACAGGGGUCAGCCAAGCCAGUGGGAAGCCUACGACAUUCCCCUGGGUCACUUAGUGAACUCCUACUCUUUCAUCAGGCCUCACUUGAACAUGACUUCCUCCAGAAGCCUUCCCAGACAUCUUUGAGCUAGAAAGUCAGAAGAGUAGAAUUGGAACCCAGCUCAGUCUGAUGCCACAUCCUUUGUUGUUUCCAUUAAAUCAGAGAAUUUCUUAGUGCUGAGAAACUAUUCUGGAACUUACAACAAAGAUAAAUAGCAGCUGCUACUGGUGCUGUUGAUUGCGAUUUCUGUUUGAAAAUGGAAUCUUGAGCAUCUGUUCUCUCCUUUUAUAUUUUACUGUGAGAGAAAAUCUAUUUUUUUCAAAAGGUAAUUCAUACACAUGGUAAAAAUUUAAACAAUAUAAAAACCUAUUUUUAAAAAACAUAUACUCUUGAGUAUUUCUGUGUACUUUGCUUUCAUCACUAAUACAUCUUUAAGUUUAUUCCAUAUUGGUACGCAAAAUACAUAUUUCAUUAUUCUAAUGAUUACAUAUUACUUAAUUCAAUUUGUAAUACAUAAAUGGCAGUUUACUAAUAUAACCAUAUAAAAAGUAAUCUAACAGAAGUUACAAUGUUUUAUCAGGUGAGCACUACACUGUUAUUUUAAUACUUGCCAGUUAAAUCAAGCAAUGUGACUGCUAAAAGUAGAAUUCCCAUACAGUAGGAAAGCACAAUUUAUUUUUAUAAUAAAAGCAAUAAAUGUG